Long non-coding RNA from Drosophila sechellia, 356 nucleotides. RefSeq lists it as uncharacterized. The record is from RefSeq and is a predicted model, not a curated record. The transcript is spliced from 2 exons. NCBI's taxonomy places the organism in Eukaryota, Metazoa, Arthropoda, Insecta, Diptera, Drosophilidae.
CCAAGUUAUUACUUGAAUAUUUUAGUUUCGGCCUAUAUGUGUACCUUUUCGUAAUUAUGGGGGGAUGCUGGAUUCUGGAUAUAAUGGCGUUUAUAUGCGAAACCCAAAAGGUUUUUAAACAAUUUACCAAAGCGAAUGACCUGAUCAACUGCAGUCCCAUAAGGGACCGAAUACAACCCAUACGCACUAGUGGCAUUGAAUUUGAAACAAUGCAAUUGCACAAUGACGCAGGACUGUCAACUGAUGCAGCAAAUAAAUUAGUUCCAAAACAUUUGUAUAUAUUACUAUAUAACUUGUUUGCUUAUCAGUCCGUUGUGGUUCUCUCAAUAAACAUACUGAAAUGCACUUUAUCAUUA